This 226-nucleotide ribosomal RNA is filed under the name uncultured bacterium. RNAcentral describes it as "partial 16S ribosomal RNA". It matches the Rfam family "Bacterial small subunit ribosomal RNA", at positions 1275 to 1500 of the family's 1533-position model. The record is from RNAcentral.
AAAAAGACCGGUCUAAGUUCGGAUUGCAGGCUGCAACCCGCCUGCAUGAAGUCGGAAUCGCUAGUAAUCGCGAGUCAGCAUAUCGCGGUGAAUACGUUCCCGGGUCUUGUACACACCGCCCGUCACACCAUGGGAGUUGGCAACACCCGAAGUCGAUGAGCUAACCGCAAGGAGGCAGUCGCCUAAGGUGGGGUUGAUAACUGGGGUGAAGUCGUAACAAGGUAAC